RNAcentral lists this ribosomal RNA (460 nucleotides) under uncultured bacterium. RNAcentral's name for it is "partial 16S ribosomal RNA". It matches the Rfam family "Bacterial small subunit ribosomal RNA", at positions 338 to 795 of the family's 1533-position model. The record is from RNAcentral.
CCUACGGGAGGCAGCAGUGAGGAAUAUUGGUCAAUGGACGAGAGUCUGAACCAGCCAAGUAGCGUGAAGGAUGACUGCCCUAUGGGUUGUAAACUUCUUUUAUAUGGGAAUAAAAUGUUCCACGUGUGGGAUUUUGUAUGUACCAUAUGAAUAAGGAUCGGCUAACUCCGUGCCAGCAGCCGCGGUAAUACGGAGGAUCCGAGCGUUAUCCGGAUUUAUUGGGUUUAAAGGGAGCGUAGGUGGAUUGUAAAGUCAGUUGUGAAAGUUUGCGGCUCAACCGUAAAAUUGCAGUUGAAACUGGCAGUCUUGAGUACAGUAGAGGUGGGCGGAAUGCGUGGUGUAGCGGUGAAAUGCUUAGAUAUCACGAAGAACUCCGAUUGCGAAGGCAGUUCACUGGACUGCAACUGACACUGAGGCUCGAAAGUGUGGGUAUCAAACAGGAUUAGAUACCCCUGUAGUC